UUGCGCAAUGGGCGAAAGCCUGACGCAGCAACGCCGCGUGAGUGAUGAAGGCUUUCGGGUCGUAAAGCUCUGUCAAGUGGGAAGAACCUGCAGUAUGCUAAUACCAUAUUGCACUGACGGUACCACUGAAGGAAGCACCGGCUAACUCCGUGCCAGCAGCCGCGGUAAUACGGGGGGUGCAAGCGUUAUUCGGAAUCAUUGGGCGUAAAGAGCACGUAGGCGGCCUGGUAAGUCAGAUGUGAAAGCCCGGGGCUUAACCCCGGAAGUGCAUUUGAUACUGCCAGGCUUGAGUAUGGGAGAGGGAAGUGGAAUUCCUGGUGUAGAGGUGAAAUUCGUAGAUAUCAGGAGGAACACCGGUGGCGAAGGCGACUUCCUGGACCAAUACUGACGCUGAGGUGCGAAGGCGUGGGUAGCAAACAGGAUUAGAUACCCUGGUAGUCCACGCAGUAAACGUUGUUCACUAGGUGUAGCGGGUAUUGACCCCUGCUGUGCCGCAGUUAACGCAUUAAGUGAAC
This 515-nucleotide ribosomal RNA is filed under the name uncultured bacterium. RNAcentral's name for it is "bacterial SSU rRNA". It matches the Rfam family "Bacterial small subunit ribosomal RNA", at positions 364 to 869 of the family's 1533-position model. The record is from RNAcentral.